Callithrix jacchus (white-tufted-ear marmoset) is the source of this 1149-nucleotide non-coding RNA. The record is from RefSeq and is a predicted model, not a curated record. NCBI's taxonomy places the organism in Eukaryota, Metazoa, Chordata, Mammalia, Primates, Cebidae.
UUGCAUGUUGUGAGGACUCUCACACACCCCUAUACCAAGGUCUACGUGGUCAACAAUUGAGGCUUCCCGACAACAGCCAGCACCACCUUGCCAGGCCUGUGAAUGAAUGAUUGACUUACAAGUGGAUCUGCUAGUCCCAGUCAAGCCUUCAGGUAACUGUAGUUCCAGCCAACAUCUAGACUGCCACCUCAUGAGAGAACCUGAACUAGCCAGAUCCUUUGAACUCUUUCAAGCUAUGUUUCAAGACUUUCUGGGCUUUGACGGGGCUGGGCAUUCACUGUAAAAGCAGUCAAUGCCUCAGUGAGACCACAAGCAAAACUGUGAGUGUCUUAAGCAGGGACCACACAACUCUUGGCUUUGUGCUUGACAAUAAGAAGAGAUUUAAAAAGGUAUAAAAGGCAAGAUCUUUGCUCUCCCAGAAUUCCUGAGUGAGGCAAUAUGUGCUCAACAGUGUCAGGCAAGUAGCAGCGUGCAGAAGGAACAGAAGGAGCGGCUUGGGUGUGACAAGCUGGAACCUGCACACAGCUGCAGGAGGAGGGUGUUCUGAGACUUCGAAGAUCAGCACGCCCCUUCCAACCUUUCAGAGGAAGCUAUUGAAAAUGAAAAGACAUGACUUCUCAAUACCAAGUUUAUUUGAAAAGGAAUGAAACCAAUGUAACAGAUUGUCUUGUGUCUAUCCUGCUUCCAAUAGAAGUCCCCUGUGAUUAUACAGGAAUGCCUGGCCUUUCUCAUAUGAACUGAAACAUUCCAAGGGGAGUGAAAAUUUGAGACGUCACAAGUGUAUAAGAAUUGCUGCAUGAAAUGGCCUGCAUUUAAAGAUUUAGGAGAAGAAAAAGAUUCGUAAACAGUAAAGGGAUAAAAGGUAGCAGGAUAAUGGUGAGCAGGAGUUCAAAAAAUAGUAGCCUGAUGCUGCAUUAAUAGACCGUAGCCUCUGGCUCAGCAGUGAGUGAUAGGGCAGUCACGAGAGGUGUGGUGGUCUUUCUGAUGAGGGACUGCCUGCUGCAACCAAAUUUGAAUUCAAACAACCACUGCUCUGAUUUUUAAAUUUUUUAUUGGAUGUUUUAUAAAUUACAAAGUAAUUCAAUCUAGCUACAAGUGAAACAAUAUAAAAAUGUGUAAGAGAACACUAAUUAUUGCUGCUCCUUCUAU